Molecule: ribosomal RNA, 292 nt
Filed under: uncultured bacterium
Lineage: Bacteria
Description: partial 16S ribosomal RNA
Rfam family: Bacterial small subunit ribosomal RNA
Source: RNAcentral
GUGUCAGCAGCCGCGGUAAUACGUAGGGUGCGAGCGUUAAUCGGAAUUACUGGGCGUAAAGCGUGCGUAGGCGGCGCGCUAAGACAGGUGUGAAAGCCCCGGGCUUAACCUGGGAAUGGCGCUUGUGACUGGCGGGCUCGAGUGCGGCAGAGGGAGGUGGAAUUCCACGUGUAGCAGUGAAAUGCGUAGAGAUGUGGAGGAACACCGAUGGCGAAGGCAGCCUCCUGGGCCGACACUGACGCUCAAGCACGAAAGCGUGGGGAGCAAACAGGAUUAGAAACCCUCGUAGUCC